Molecule: long non-coding RNA, 372 nt
Filed under: Lactuca sativa (garden lettuce)
Lineage: Eukaryota; Viridiplantae; Streptophyta; Magnoliopsida; Asterales; Asteraceae
Description: long non-coding RNA (LSAT_LNC002587)
Source: RNAcentral
UUUUUGUAACGAUCGACUGGGACCUGCCGCAACGGCAUAGCAUGGAUAGGAACUGGCGGAGGUGGAGGCGGAGGUGGUAAAGGACUUGCUACCGGCGAUGGCGGCAUUAACUGCAUCGGCGUCGGAGCAGCUGUAGACUCUUCAUUUUCGACUCCAGGAAGCGAGAGACUUAAUAAAGUCGGAGGAUCUUUCGUUUGAAGCGGCGGAGGCGGAGGCGGAGGAGAAGACGUUGCUACUUCGAUUUGCGGAGCAACAACCGCUCCUGUUCUAGCGACUGGCCGGUAGACGUGCGACGACGAAAUCGCCGGAACGCUGGAAUCACUGACGUCAGAUCCAGACGGACUACCGGGAUUCAAAUAACGACCAGAAACA